Molecule: long non-coding RNA, 1402 nt
Organism: Cuculus canorus (common cuckoo)
Lineage: Eukaryota; Metazoa; Chordata; Aves; Cuculiformes; Cuculidae
Exons: 3
Source: RefSeq, a predicted model, not a curated record
GAGCAGAACCAGUGCUGAAAAGGUCUCCUCUCUUCUACCCACUCUGUCCUCCACAGGGAAAACAAAGCACAAAAGAAGGGAAAUGUGCUAAGAGUGAGGGACAUAGGGAAAAUAUGCCAUGAAGGGGAAGAAAAACCUGGUACAUAAAAGGUGCUAUUAAUAGAUAAUUUGUGGCAGUUCUCUUUCAACAGGUGCGUUUGUAUUCCAUCCUGCAUGGCAACACUUGCUUUAGAAAACCAUACAGACAGAUCCAGAAGGGCUGCUGUGGAGGCUUUGAAGACUUCAUAUUCUCAGUAAAGAACCUCCUGUAUCUGAGGACAUGGCACUGUCAGGAAUAUAUUCAGACCCAUUCCUAAGAAGUGUGUCGAAACCAUCUCCCCAGGAAAUACUGGAACAGCAUGGAUUGCCUCAGAUGGGAGCUAUGUCCCCUCCUGUGAAGCAGGACUAGCAACUACCUGCUGCAAAAGAAACAGCAAUGCCAAGAUGGAAGGAGGCUUACUGAAGCAGAAACAGCUCCAAGAGAGAAGGAUGCCUGGAGGUAGCAGUGCAGCUAAGACAUGGCUGGAGCUAGAUGGGCAACCCCAAAAAUGUGAGGAAGAUUGAGGGUGUUUAGGAUGGACUCAGGGACUUGAUAAUUGUCUGAAGGAAGUUAACAGAGAAUUUCAGCCAUUAACAGGUGUGAUUCAGGAGGAACAGGAGUUGAAACCUACUUCCAGGGCAGGUAAUAGCUGGAAAGAAAGGUGGAACAGAGCUGGAAAGCAUAAAGCAUCUUGCACAUGGAAGAGAUGAGAGGAAAUCCAUAAUUUAUGGAAGUAAAAAUAGGAUGGGGCAACCCAGCUGCCGGAGUGAGGUAAGGUGUUUUGGAGGAAGAACUAAUGAGACAUAGUAACAUUUGUGAGAAGGGAGAAACUGUAUGACCUACAAGGAGAACACCUGGAUUGAAUUGGAAAGAGGAAGCAGUAAAUAUAGAAUUUACAGAUGCUGGCUCUAAAGAAAUGCAAAGGAAUCAGGAAAAAUAAUAGUGUACUGAAAGAACAUAACCAAAAGGACAGCUAGUCCCUGGCUGAUGAAGAAUUGGUGGGCCAUCUGCCUUCAACCCAGGCAUAUGGCAGCCCCAUACUGGGUGCUGGAAGCUACACUGGCAGAAAGGCGAAAGAGAUGGGUCCACCUUAGGAGAAAAGAGGUAAGGAACCAGAGGUGAGAGUGCAAAAGGGCCUGACUACAGAAAAAAAGGGAGGUUAGGGCCAGAAUUACCUGUGUGGUGAAGCUGGUCCUGGGGCAGAGAUGAAGAGGAGAAGUGGCAACUGGAGGGGUAGCAGUUCAUACUUAUAAAAAUCUUCACAUAAAAGGAGACUAGGAGAACUGACAGUACCCUCUCUACAACAGCUGAAUCACAUGUGCA